CGGGAGGCCUGGGGUCCCGGGCCUCGGCGGCCUGCGGGUGAGCUGCCCUUCCUCUGGGAUCCCGGCGCAGGUGCUGCCCUCCACGGUGUUACGGUGCAUCAAGAAGUUCCUGACCAGAUGUUGAGCAGAUGCCUCUAGGGGCCCUCAAGCUUCUCAGCCUCCAGAAUUACACCUGCCGACUCGACUCUGCAUGCCCAGGCUGUUGGUCAAGGAGAAGCAGGGCCAAGGGCUUCCUGGUGACACAUUUGUGCAGUCAAGUCUCACGGCUGCCUGCUGCUUCCAGACCUGGUUCUGUGCUGGGUGCCUCCUCCUGUGUACACCACACAAGUCAUGCUGGCCCAGGGGGUGGACAGGACACGGACAGCUCUAUUCUCAGUGCCUGUGGCCACA
This is a long non-coding RNA of Heterocephalus glaber (naked mole-rat), 390 nucleotides long. Lineage: Eukaryota; Metazoa; Chordata; Mammalia; Rodentia; Bathyergidae. The record is from Ensembl.